AGAGUUUGAUCCUGGCUCAGGAUGAACGCUAGCGGUGUGUUUAAGAUAUGCAAGUCGAACGUCCUGACAGUGCUUGCACUGUCUGGUAGUGGCGGACGGCUGAGUAACACGUAGGAACCUACCUUUCGGUAGAGAAUAGCUUCGGGAAACCGGGGGUAAUACUCUAUACCCAGGUGUCGCAAGAUACUUGGAAAGGGCAUAACUGCUCGCCGUAAGAGGGGCCUGCGGCCUAUCAGGUAGUUGGUGGGGUAAUAGCCUACCAAGCCUAUGACGGGUAGCUGACCUCAUGAGGGUGAUCAGCCAGAGGAGCACUGAGACACGGGCUCCACACCUACGGGUGGCAGCAAUCAAGAAUCGUUGGCAAUGGGCGAAAGCCUGACCACGCGACACCGCGUGUAGGAAGAAAUCUCUUGGGAUGUAAACUACUGUGGUAGGGGAAGAAGUCUCGGCGAAUGCCGGAUUGACGGUACCCUACUAGAAAGUGGCCGCUAACUUCGUGCCAGAAGCGUCGGUGAUACGGGGGCCACGAGCGUUAUCCGGUGUGACUGGGCGUAAAGGGUCUGUAGGCGUCCCGAUAAGUUUUCGUUUAAAGAUCAAGGCUCAACCUUGAAACAGGUGAAAAAACUAUCGGGAUAGAGUUAUUUUUAGGGAAAUCGGAAUUGACGGAGGAGUAGUGAAAUGCGUUGAUAUCGUCAAGAACACCAAUGGCGAAGGCAGAUUUCUGGAAAAUAACUGACGCUGAAAGACGAAAGCUAGGGGAGCGAACCGGAUUAGAGACCCGGGUAGUCCUAGCCCUAAACGAUGCUCGCUAGUUGCAUUUUCUCCCGAUUUAUUUUGGGAGAGGGUGUGGCGAAGCUAACGCGUUAAGCGAGCCGCCUGGGGAGUACGACCGCAAGGUUGAAACUCAAAGGAAUUGGCGGGGAGACACACAACUAGUGGAACAUGUGGUUUAAUUCGAGACAAACCGUAGCACCUCACCAGGGCUUGACAUCCUAACGGCGAUCUUAUGAAAGUAGGAUUUUCCGCAAGGACGUUAGGACAGCUGUUGCAUGGCUGUCGUCAGUUCGUUCCGUGAGGAGUGCCCUUAAGUGGGACAACGAACGUAACCCUUGUCCCGAGUUACACGUAUCUCGGGAGACUGCCCCGCCGAUGGCGGGGAGGAAGGAGAGGCAGACGUCAAGUCAGCAUGACGCUUAUGCCCUGGGCGACACACAUGUUACAAUGAGAUGGACAAUGGGUUGCUAAACGGUAACGCGGAGCUAAUCCUAUAAACCAUCUCUCAGUGGGGAUUGAGGUCUGAAACUCGACCUCAUGAACGUGGAAUUAGUAGUAAUCGCGGAUCAGCCAUGCCGCGGUGAAUACGUUCUUGUCUCUUGCACACACUGCCCGUCAAGCCAACAAAGUCGGGAGUACCUGAACCCUGCUUUUGCGGGGGAGGGUAAGACCGGCGAUGGGGACUAAGUCGUAACAAGGUACCCGUUCUGGAAGGAGCGGGUGAAUCACCUCCUUUC
Molecule: ribosomal RNA, 1511 nt
Filed under: Candidatus Roizmanbacteria bacterium RIFCSPHIGHO2_12_FULL_37_23
Lineage: Bacteria; Candidatus Roizmaniibacteriota
Also listed under: 3 other names
Description: bacterial SSU rRNA
Rfam family: Bacterial small subunit ribosomal RNA
Source: RNAcentral